RNAcentral lists this ribosomal RNA (537 nucleotides) under uncultured Gammaproteobacteria bacterium. Its description in RNAcentral is "bacterial SSU rRNA". It matches the Rfam family "Bacterial small subunit ribosomal RNA", at positions 86 to 619 of the family's 1533-position model. Lineage: Bacteria; Pseudomonadati; Pseudomonadota; Gammaproteobacteria. The record is from RNAcentral.
CUCUUGAGAGCGGCGGACGGGUGAGUAAUGCCUAGGAAUCUGCCUGGUAGUGGGGGAUAACGUUCGGAAACGGACGCUAAUACCGCAUACGUCCUACGGGAGAAAGCAGGGGACCUUCGGGCCUUGCGCUAUCAGAUGAGCCUAGGUCGGAUUAGCUAGUUGGUGAGGUUAUGGCUCACCAAGGCGACGAUCCGUAACUGGUCUGAGAGGAUGAUCAGUCACACUGGAACUGAGACACGGUCCAGACUCCUACGGGAGGCAGCAGUGGGGAAUAUUGGACAAUGGGCGAAAGCCUGAUCCAGCCAUGCCGCGUGUGUGAAGAAGGUCUUCGGAUUGUAAAGCACUUUCAGCGAGGAGGAAGGCAGUCGUGUUAAUAGCACGGUUGAUUGACGUUACUCGCAGAAGAAGCACCGGCUAACUCCGUGCCAGCAGCCGCGGUAAUACGGAGGGUGCAAGCGUUAAUCGGAAUUACUGGGCGUAAAGCGCACGCAGGCGGUUUGUUAAGUCAGAUGUGAAAUCCCCGCGCUUAACGUGGGA